GAAUCACAUGGUAAAACCUAAAAUUACCAUAUUGUAUGAAAUAGACUCCAUUAUUCAAAUUCAUUACAUGAGUAAUUACUUCAUAUUAAAGAGAUUCACAGUACAAAAUCAUCAUGUUGAGAAGGUAGCUUCCUCUUACAUGAGAGAAAGAAGAUCGGUCUGAAGAAGCACCUAUCCAUCAAACCAUUUUAACAAAAAUAAAUUACUUCUUCCCAAUGGUAGUGACAUGGGAAUGUGAUAUUCCCUCAAUCGUGUGAAAAUUGAAUUGUAUACCUUUUGGCAACCAAACGUGUAAUGCAAUAGAAUGUUGGAUUCCAAUUACAUUGGAUUAUGUUGGAAUCCAUGAGCUAAAACACGUAUGUAACAACAAAAAUCUAGAUAAAUCUAGUAGACAAAAACACAAUGGAAUGGAAUCCUAGAUUCCAAUUCCGUUGGAUUCUCCUGGGAUACACAACAAAUAUGGUGUAAGGAUACUGUUUUAUUCACGGAUUCCAGUGGAAUCCAAUGAUAUUCAAAUGUGAGAUUCCAUUUCAUGAUCUGUUUGGUUGCCCAAUUGAUGGAAUUGAAUUCAGUCAAUUUCGUCAAAAAAAAACCACCAAUACCUAUAUAUGAUGGAUUUCAUCAUUUCUAAAGUUGUCUUGAAUACCGGUGUUUCAAGAUGUGAAGAAACAUAUCACUGAAAAAACAGUCAACCCCAAAACUGGAACUGUGAACUCAUAAUAAUGAAGAUGCAAAAAUGGAGAAGUCAUAACAAAUGUUGAUGAAAAAAUUGUAUAAAAACCAACAGUGAUAGAUCUUAAUGAAAAAAAAUUGCAUAUCAAUUGGUCAGAAAAAACAUGGAACAAAAGUUGAAUAAAGAUUGCAAUCAACCAUUUUUUAUAAAUAUUUGUUUUUAAUAUGGCUGGAAUUGAGAUCCCAAAUGAAAAUGGUGCCUUUUCUACCGGUAUUUGUUUCUCAAUUUUGAGAUCUUAUUAAAGUUAAUCACACAUUAGGUGCAUUAAUGGAGCAGAUAUCCACAUACUAACAAACAAAAAGAACUUAUUACAAUAGAAAAGGAUAAUAAGUGUAGCAGGGAUACUUGUUUCACAACAAAGUUUAAGGAAAUUUCUCCAAUACCAAAAGCUAGAAGUUGAUGUAAGCCAAUAUCUGCAACAGCCUACCAAAAGAUCGUUGAAAAGGGUAAACGAUAAAAUAAAAAGAUUUGAAGUACGAUUAUCAUCCCUUUGAGGCAUAUCAACAAACACCUUGCAUGCUAAAACCAAUAGAAUAAAAAUUCUAGCUCCAGAUGGUGGAAAACAUAUAUAAGAUGUAGGGAACUGAUAAAUGAUACAAAAAUAAGCAUCUUCAUAGAAUUGUCUGAAAUAUAAGUAAAAAAAUACGAACCAACUGAAGAAAGGUUUUUGUUUUAAGCACUUAUACUCUUUAACUUGAAUGAAUGUGUAUAUAUCUGACCUCCUACCUCCGAUGAAACCUGUAAGCAAAAUCGAUAUACCAAAAAACUAUCCCAUGCCGUCGCAAAAAGAUAUAGUCUGCAAGGUAACACAAACAAUUUCCAAUUUGAGACAUGUGAAAUGAUAUUUCUUUCCUAAAAGUCAAAAAAUUAACCUAAAAGUUCAACAAUAAGAAAGUCGAUUCUAGUGGUUCAGAGAAAAAUGGCUUGUGCAGUGGUUCAUGGAGUUUCCUUCUGAUCGAAAUCAACUAAACUUUUAUCUUCUUUGGCUUGGAAUUUCAGAAAGAGGGAGAGAAAAGAUGAUGGAAAACGCACCUGAAGAGCCGAUGUCUGUAUUCAAUUUAUUUCGUUUCGACUUUGGGUCCGGUCAACCGGAAGAAAGCCGAUAACUUCCAUUCGCUGUGGAACUUGGUUGUGCAAAGAAGAAUCAAAUCAAACAGAGAUGAAGGAAAUCAAAAUCAAACAUUUUAAGAAUAAAACCUAGCAAUUGACAGCCAAAGCAAAGUCCACAGAUCGUACUGCUCAGCUAUUAAGUGCACUUAAGCAAGGUAGAUAAGGCAAUGGAAAAGAAGCGAGACCCUGCGAAGCAUCGCGUAAAUGGUUCCAUGCUGGGGAACAGAAAGGUUUUUUACUCAUGAGUUACGAUUAUUUUUGAGAUGGAACAGCUAAAGAGCCG
RNAcentral lists this long non-coding RNA (2126 nucleotides) under Lactuca sativa (garden lettuce). RNAcentral's name for it is "long non-coding RNA (LSAT_LNC008742)". Lineage: Eukaryota; Viridiplantae; Streptophyta; Magnoliopsida; Asterales; Asteraceae. The record is from RNAcentral.